AGCUUUACAUGGUGUCAUUAUCAGCCAAUGAGGUUUAUGUUAGCCGCGAUUAUUGCUAAUUGAAAACUUUUCCCAAUACCCUGCCAUGACAACUGGAAAUGUAGUCAGCAUUGUCAAUUAUUGGCAGUCUCUACAGGGA
Molecule: small nuclear RNA, 139 nt
Organism: Sapajus apella (tufted capuchin)
Lineage: Eukaryota; Metazoa; Chordata; Mammalia; Primates; Cebidae
Product: U4 spliceosomal RNA
Exons: 1
Source: RefSeq, a predicted model, not a curated record